This 377-nucleotide ribosomal RNA is filed under the name uncultured archaeon. RNAcentral describes it as "bacterial SSU rRNA". It matches the Rfam family "Archaeal small subunit ribosomal RNA", at positions 1 to 384 of the family's 1478-position model. The record is from RNAcentral.
UUCCGGUUGAUCCUGCCAGACCCGACUGCUAUCAGAAUAGGACUAAGCCAUGCGAGUCAACGUAGCAAUACGUGGCAUACGGCUCAGUAACACGUAGUCAACAUGCCCAGGGGACGUGGAUAACCUCGGGAAACUGAGGAUAAACCGCGAUAGACCAUAAUGUCUGGAAUGAUUUAUGGUUCAAAUCUACAUGGCCCCUGGAUUGGACUGCGGCCGAUCAGGCUGUUGGUGAGGUAAUGGCCCACCAAACCUAAAACCGGUACGGGCUCUGAGAGGAGAAGCCCGGAGAUGGGCACUGAGAACAGGGCCCAGGCCCUAUGGGGCGCAGCAGGCGCGAAACCUCUGCAAUAAGCGAAAGCUUGACAGGGNUAUUCUGA